Molecule: long non-coding RNA, 331 nt
Organism: Gorilla gorilla gorilla (western lowland gorilla)
Lineage: Eukaryota; Metazoa; Chordata; Mammalia; Primates; Hominidae
Exons: 3
Source: RefSeq, a predicted model, not a curated record
GUACAGAAAAUGUUCCAGAAGAUCAAACAACAUGGUAAAGACUGAAGGGAGGGGAGGCCUGACAGCCAGAGAAACCAGCAGAAUCGGGUGUCUAGGAAAUUCUCAGUAACUGUCUAAUUGAACUGAACCAACCUCAUCACAGCCUUUGGCAGCAGGGACCAGUAUGGUUAUAAUAUAUUGAAAGGAGGAAUAAUGUGGUGCUUAAAGAAUGUGAACUUUAGAACCAGACCAACCAGGUCCAAAUCCCAGCUGUGCAACCUUAGGCAAGUUACUUAACUUCUCUAUACCUCAGUUUACUCAUCUAAACAAUGGAGCUAACAAUAGUACCUAC